CCUGUGAAGAUAAUGACUGUAGCAGGUAAAGAAACCCCGGCUAACUCCGUGCCAGCAGCCGCGGUAAUACGGAGGGGGUUAGCGUUGUUCGGAAUUACUGGGCGUAAAGCGCGCGUAGGCGGACAUUUAAGUCAGAGGUGAAAUCCCAGGGCUCAACCCUGGAACUGCCUUUGAUACUGGGUGUCUUGAGUUCGAGAGAGGUGAGUGGAAUUCCGAGUGUAGAGGUGAAAUUCGUAGAUAUUCGGAGGAACACCAGUGGCGAAGGCGGCUCACUGGCUCGAUACUGACGCUGAGGUGCGAAAGUGUGGGGAGCAAACAGGAUUAGAUACCCUGGUAGUCCACACCGUAAACGAUGAAUGCCAGUCGUCGGGUAGUAUACUAUUCGGUGACACACCUAACGGAUUAAGCAUUCCGCCGGGGGAGUACGGUCGCAAGAUUAAAACUCA
Molecule: ribosomal RNA, 446 nt
Filed under: uncultured bacterium
Lineage: Bacteria
Description: bacterial SSU rRNA
Rfam family: Bacterial small subunit ribosomal RNA
Source: RNAcentral